This 407-nucleotide ribosomal RNA is filed under the name Schizorchis caballeroi. Its description in RNAcentral is "partial large subunit ribosomal RNA". The stretch from base 65 to 407 matches the Rfam family "Bacterial large subunit ribosomal RNA", at positions 2048 to 2708 of the family's 2925-position model. The record is from RNAcentral. Lineage: Eukaryota; Metazoa; Platyhelminthes; Cestoda; Cyclophyllidea; Anoplocephalidae.
AGGCUUGUUUGAAUGGUUUGACGAGGGGAGGGGCAUAUAUUUAUUAUUUUUUUGAAAUUAUUGUUGAGGGUACAGAAUCCUCAAAGGUUAAUUAGACGGAAAGACCCCGGGAUCUUUUAUUUUUGCCUGGGGCAGGUUUUAAUAUUUCAUUAAUAUUAUGGCCCUAAUGGUUUAGUGAGUAAGUUACCCCGGGGAUAACAGUGUAAUAGUUAAUAAGAGAUCGUAUCGAAUUAACUGUUUGCCACCUCGAUGUUGACUUAGGUAAAGUUAUUGGCGCAGUUGUCGAUGACUUGGGUCUGUUCGACCUUAUAUACCUCCAUGAGUUGAGUUAAGACCGGCGUAAGCCAGGUCGGUUCUUAUCUAUUAGUGAGGCUUAUUAGUACGAAAGGACCGUAAGUCUUUUUAUU